RNAcentral lists this ribosomal RNA (103 nucleotides) under Notechis scutatus (mainland tiger snake). Lineage: Eukaryota; Metazoa; Chordata; Lepidosauria; Squamata; Elapidae. The record is from RNAcentral.
AUCUACAUCAACCCCAGGCUGGCGGCCCUUCUGAAGCUAAGCAGGAUCGGGACUGGUUAAUAUGUGGAUGGGCGACCUCCAGGAAAUUCGAGAGCUGUGGACU